Carica papaya (papaya) is the source of this 1817-nucleotide RNA transcript. It is a transcript of the gene named chaperone protein ClpB4, mitochondrial pseudogene, with no coding region annotated. The record is from RefSeq and is a predicted model, not a curated record. Lineage: Eukaryota; Viridiplantae; Streptophyta; Magnoliopsida; Brassicales; Caricaceae.
GAAUUGACACCACUAACCCAGCCUUCAAGUGGCAUUUUGGCCACCUAACAGAGGGAACCUAGCUGGCUAGGCAGGUGUUGAACUCCAACCAUCCCUUUCCUUUGGCUGUCGACCACUCAUGGCAUCAAUGGCCAUGAGUGAUUGCAUGGCAAUGGAUGGCCAGAUUUGGCCAAGGAAUUUCCUUAAAAACUUAUUCCCCUCUCUACCUUCUUCUCAUUCAUUUCAUUUAAAACAAAACCCAUAGCAAAUCGGGAGAGAUAGAGAGUACUGGUGAGAUAAAAGUUGUGAUAGCCGAGUGUGAAGUGCGAGCUGGUAGCGAGGGGGAAGCCUGGUGCGAACAGUGAAGGCAUCCUUCUUCUGUUCCGAUCUUAGGGAGCCCCUUUCCUUUAAAAUUUGUUUAUCUUCGAUUCUUAGUACUCAAACGUCAUUCUUCUAGCUUCUUAGCCCCAAAACUUGUAGUAAUCUCACAAAACCAAAGUCUUCUUACUCUAGUACUUGCCAUCGCGACUGUGCAGGCAAUACACCACGGGGAAGGCCACCUACAGAGGGACCUGACAAUGUCCCUAAUAGGGCAGAGUUUUCUGAGGUACUUAGGGUUAUUCAAGGUUUGGCCCAUGUUGUGGAUCAGCAGGUGCAUCUACAACAAAAUAUUGAUUGUCAGUGCCUAGUUAAUGAUCAAGCUGCACAAAAUGAGACCACUGCCAGUAGUAUUUCUGAGUUUCGGGAGCUCAAUCCAUCAGAAUUCGAUGGUCGUCUUGAUCCCAUGUUAGCCGAGCGAUGGCUUAUACAGAUUGAGAAGAUUUUCUCUGUACUUGAUCUGACUGAUGAAUAGAAGGUCCCCCUUGCUAGUUUUGUUCUUGUUGGUGAGGCUGAAUAUUGGUGGCGCCUCAAACAUGAUACCUUACCUACUUUUAUCACUUAGGAGAGGUUCCUCAAUGCUCUUUAUCAGAACUUUUUUCUGGUCUAGGUCUGUGAGAAGAAAGAAAAUGAGUUUCACGAACUCAAGUAAGGCGACACGUCAAUUAGUAAUUAUGCUGCCAAGUUUGUACAAUUGUCCAUAUUUGCACCUAAGUUGGUCUCCACUGAGAUCAAGAGGGCCUGACGAUUCCUAAAGGGUCAUAGAGCAGAUAUUUAUGACCGUGUGGCUAUGUUUAAGCCAAACACUUAUGCUGAGGUCCUUGACGGUACUCAAUUAAUAUAAGAGUUACUUUAUGCUCUGUUCAAACAAACUAGUGGUUCUAGGCUUCUUGAUCAUCUGAAGAGGAAGCAACCAUCUCAGGGUCUAGUUGAUAAGCGACCUAGAGUUACUCUUAUUACUACUCCACCAUCAACACGUAUUGUUACCCUUUCUGGCCUAUUUAUAAGUAGUGUGGAAAUAGGCAUGGUGAUUGUCCCUAUUAUAAGGCCACCAAUGCCUAUUAUAAUUGUGGUCAGACUAGUCAUUAUGUGAAAGAUUGUCCCCAAGCAAUUCGUAAAUUAGUUUUUAGGGGUCAUGUAUUCCAAAUGGUAGAGCCAGAUGCAAAGGUUACAUUAGCCGUCAUUGAGAAUGGUGUCGAUGAGGAUGUUUGUGAUGAGUUAUCCACCGAAUUACCUCUUGAAGCUUGCUUGGAUCCCCUGGAUCCAUGAUCGUUGACGAGGGUAUGUCUUGUUAUGCACUCUGAUGAGUCCAUUUACAUAGUGAAAGAAAUAGUUUUCUUUUUUAUUUUGUAUUUUAUCGUUAUUUCUGGCUUCAGUUGUAUAUAUUAUUAGAAACUCAUAUAUUUUGUGAGGAAUUUUGUAUUGUAAAAAUUUUCACUGCAUAUAUUCUAUUUAAAUGU